AAGUCGUAACAAGGUUUCCGUAGGUGAACCUGCGGAAGGAUCAUUAACAAAUCGAUUGUGGAUUCUGAGAUGGUUGUAAAAGGCCAUUUCGGAUGAACACACAUAAACCCGAACCUGUGCAGCAAUGCCAGGCUAGGUGUGCAAUGGUAAAACAUUGUACGGUAAAAGGUCAGCUCGGUAUUCCCGUGAUGACCUUGAGCCACAUAGACGCUUGUAUGUUUGACAGAGUUUAGUCGACACUUUAAAAAAUGACAACUUUUAACAAUGGAUCUCUUGGCUCUU
Molecule: unclassified non-coding RNA, 282 nt
Filed under: fungal sp.
Lineage: Eukaryota; Fungi
Description: partial internal transcribed spacer region
Rfam family: Eukaryotic small subunit ribosomal RNA (bases 1-46)
Source: RNAcentral